AACGAACGCUGGCGGCAGGCCUAACACAUGCAAGUCGAGCGAAGCCUUCGGGCUUAGCGGCGGACGGGUGAGUAACGCGUGGGAACGUGCCCUUUGCUACGGAAUAGCCCCGGGAAACUGGGAGUAAUACCGUAUGUGCCCUUCGGGGGAAAGAUUUAUCGGCAAAGGAUCGGCCCGCGUUGGAUUAGGUAGUUGGUGGGGUAGUGGCCUACCAAGCCGACGAUCCAUAGCUGGUUUGAGAGGAUGAUCAGCCACACUGGGACUGCGACACGGCCCAGACUCCUACGGGAGGCAGCAGUGGGGAAUCUUAGACAAUGGGGGAAACCCUGAUCUAGCCAUGCCGCGUGAUCGAUGAAGGCCUUAGGGUUGUAAAGAUCUUUCAGUGGGGAAGAUAAUGACUGUACCCACAGAAGAAGCCCCGGCUAACUCCGUGCCAGCCGCCGCCGUAA
Molecule: ribosomal RNA, 449 nt
Filed under: uncultured bacterium
Lineage: Bacteria
Description: partial 16S ribosomal RNA
Rfam family: Bacterial small subunit ribosomal RNA
Source: RNAcentral